RNAcentral lists this ribosomal RNA (127 nucleotides) under Pseudochlorella pringsheimii. Its description in RNAcentral is "partial ribosomal RNA". It matches the Rfam family "Bacterial large subunit ribosomal RNA", at positions 1 to 128 of the family's 2925-position model. The record is from RNAcentral. Lineage: Eukaryota; Viridiplantae; Chlorophyta; Trebouxiophyceae; Chlorellales; Chlorellaceae.
AUCAAAUGAAGAAAACGUUACGGUGGAUACCUAGGCAUCUAGAGACGAUGAAGGGCGUGGAAACCAACGAAAUGCUUCGAGGAGCUGGAAACAAGCUAUGAUUCGGAGAUUCCCGAAUAGGGCAACC